CAUGAAACCAUGAUAAGGGGAAGUAUCUCGAACUUGCAUUGUAUGACAAGAAUAUACAUUUUUGCAGAGUGGCUGGUGGAAGGUCACAAUUUAUGACACAUUAUUUUUGAUGAACCCAAAUAUCCUGAAUAUCCAGUACCAUAGAGAGCCAAAGCUGGAGCUGAAUUUAGAUUUCUUGGAUGUUUCUUAGAUGGUAUAUCAUCUCCAAUGCCUUUGUCUUGUGUAGGUCAGCGGGGGCUCUGGCAGAAUGCUUGAAUCAGGCUGUGUAACCAGUAACCGUCCAGUACAAAUCAUAACACACUCAGUUUCUUUAAGUAAAGUUAAAGAAGGAGGGUGACUUUAUCACACAAGGUUGUUGAAUAGACACGUCCUGUCAGGGACGCGGGAAGUGGGGGUGCUUAGGGUGUGUGAAAUUCAGCACAGUAUCAGCCGAGUUCACUCUAAUUUCCACAUUGUUUACUUGCUGACGUUUGUGAAUAACAGUGGCUAGUUGGCAGAACUCUUUUUACACACCAGUAGUGUGUUUAUCAGAGCGGAUCCCUGAAUGUGACGUCACCCGUCAUCUCGUCUCUGUAAACAAUGGAUGUUGCGCAGCAUUUAUUAUGACGUCAUUAUAUAGAUUCUCUCUCAGCACCCCCCCCUCGGACUGACUUCCCGCGUCCCUGCGUCCUGUCAGUGUUUAUGGGAAAUGCUGGGCAUGGUGCUUACAAGAAGACACACUAGGAUGAUUCACCUAUAACUCUUAUUGAAUUAUCAAAUUGUUUGUCUUAAAAUCCAACAUUCAAACUGCUUUAGCGUAAUGCUGCGACUGAGUAGUGUGAUUCUUAUAAUACACUGUGCACCACCAAAGCAGCGAUAUACUGCUAUACAAUUCACAUUACACCUUUCACAUUUCAGUUUUUUGUUUUUGUUUGAGUGAUUGCUAAUUAUAUGUCCACCUAAUCUUUCCUAGCUAUCCUAAAUCAAAUCAUAUUUAUUUUGGGAUGGAUUGGGUGAGAAUGUAAACAGUCGCAGUAUUUAAAUAUUGUCCCUUUUAUGAAUCCGUGAUCAACCAUUCUGUGUUGGUUCACAUCCUUGGAACCAGACAAAUCUGCAAGCUUGUUUUCAUAUCGACUGCCCCCCCUCCCUUUCACACAGAUAUCAGGUUAUACUGGCCUGGGUCGGGCCAGCCUCGGCCAUUUAUAAAAUAUGGCAGGGGUUUAACACAAGUACAGCUGAGCACUCUAUGGAAGUGCUAUUGUGGCGUUUUCAUAAACAUCCAAAAAGGCUGCCGCUGUAUCACCAGUUUCAUUGCUGUGACAUUAUUUUAGAUUUGCUCACUUCUACAUCUCUUGUCUUGUAAUGCAAUAAACUCAGAUACACUCCUUUCGUUCAAAAGUCAGCUUAAAUCCCAUCUCUUCAGGACCACCUACAACAUCUGACGAAUCAUUCUGCACCAUCUUUCACCCUCUCUCUCUCUCUCUCUCUCUCUCUCUCUCUCUCUCUCUCUCUCUCUCUCUCUCUCUCUCUCUCUCUCUCUCUCAAAUUGUAUAUUUGCCUGUACUGUGUCUGUACUGUCUGUAUGUAUUCCUUUUUAUGAAGUGCCUUUGAGUACCAAGAAAAGCACUGUUAAAAAACAAU
Molecule: long non-coding RNA, 1620 nt
Organism: Gadus macrocephalus (Pacific cod)
Lineage: Eukaryota; Metazoa; Chordata; Actinopteri; Gadiformes; Gadidae
Exons: 2
Source: RefSeq, a predicted model, not a curated record